RNAcentral lists this ribosomal RNA (512 nucleotides) under uncultured bacterium. Its description in RNAcentral is "bacterial SSU rRNA". It matches the Rfam family "Bacterial small subunit ribosomal RNA", at positions 791 to 1301 of the family's 1533-position model. The record is from RNAcentral.
UAGUCCUGGCCGUAAACGAUGGGCACUAGGUGUGGGAGGUAUCGACCCCUUCUGUGCCGUAGCUAACGCAUUAAGUGCCCCGCCUGGGGAGUACGGUCGCAAGAUUAAAACUCAAAGGAAUUGACGGGGACCCGCACAAGCGGUGGAGCAUGUGGUUUAAUUCGACGCAACGCGAAGAACCUUACCUGGGUUUGACAUCCGGAGAAUCCUUAUGAAAAUAGGGAGUGCCCCUUGGGGAAUUCCGUGACAGGUGCUGCAUGGCUGUCGUCAGCUCGUGCCGUGAGGUGUUGGAUUAAGUUCCGCAACGAGCGCAACCCCUAUCCUUAUUUGCCAUCAUUCAGUUGGGGACUAUAAGGAGACCGCCAGUUUAUGACUGGAGGAAGGUGGGGAUGACGUCAAGUCAGCAUGGCCUUUAUGUCCAGGGCUACACACGUGCUACAAUGGCUGGUACAACGGGUAGCAACACUGCGAAGUGAAGCGAAUCUCUUAAAGCCAGUCUCAGUUCGGAUUGG